RNAcentral lists this ribosomal RNA (253 nucleotides) under uncultured bacterium. RNAcentral's name for it is "partial 16S ribosomal RNA". It matches the Rfam family "Bacterial small subunit ribosomal RNA", at positions 524 to 776 of the family's 1533-position model. The record is from RNAcentral.
UACAGAGGGGGCAAGCGUUGUUCGGAAUUACUGGGCGUAAAGGGCGCGUAGGCGGCCUGCUAAGUCGAACGUGAAAUCCCCGGGCUCAACCCGGGAACUGCGUCCGAUACUGACAGGCUUGAAUCCGGGAGAGGGAUGUGGAAUUCCAGGUGUAGCGGUGAAAUGCGUAGAUAUUGGGAAGAACACCAGUGGCGUAAGCGGCUUGCUGGGCUGUAACUGACACUGAGGAACGAAAGCCAGGGGAGCGAAUGGG